Molecule: ribosomal RNA, 253 nt
Filed under: uncultured bacterium
Lineage: Bacteria
Description: partial 16S ribosomal RNA
Rfam family: Bacterial small subunit ribosomal RNA
Source: RNAcentral
UACAGGGGGGGCAAGCGUUGUUCGGAAUUACUGGGCGUAAAGGGCUCGUAGGCGGCCAACUAAGUCCGACGUGAAAUCCCAAAGCUUAACUUUGGAACUGCGUCGGAUACUGGAUGGCUUGAAUUCGGGAGAGGGAUGCAGAAUUCCAGGUGUAGCGGUGAAAUGCGUAGAUAUCUGGAGGAAUACCGGUGGCGAAGGCGGCAUCCUGGACCGACAUUGACGCUGAGGAGCGGAAGCUAGGGGAGCAAACGGG